UACGGAGGGCGCGAGCGUUGUUCGGAAUUAUUGGGCGUAAAGCGCACGUAGGCGGCUUGAAAAGUCUCUUGUGAAAGCCCGGGGCUCAACCCCGGGAGGCCAGGGGAUACUGUCGAGCUGGAGACAGGCAGAGGCUGGUGGAAUUCCGGGUGUAGCGGUGGAAUGCGUAGAGAUCCGGAGGAACACCGGAGGCGAAGGCGGCCAGCUGGGCCUGAUCUGACGCUGAGGUGCGAAGGCGUGGGGAGCGAACAGG
RNAcentral lists this ribosomal RNA (253 nucleotides) under uncultured bacterium. Its description in RNAcentral is "partial 16S ribosomal RNA". It matches the Rfam family "Bacterial small subunit ribosomal RNA", at positions 524 to 776 of the family's 1533-position model. The record is from RNAcentral.